GUGACUGCGGAAGGAUCAUUAA
This 22-nucleotide ribosomal RNA is filed under the name Sarcodon quercinofibulatus. RNAcentral describes it as "partial 18S ribosomal RNA". Lineage: Eukaryota; Fungi; Basidiomycota; Agaricomycetes; Thelephorales; Thelephoraceae. The record is from RNAcentral.